UCUGAUAGAUGUAUGGAAGCUUCUUCGAGUCUCUCAUCUUCUCCUCCUUGAAGCUCCCAGCUAAUCUACUGAUAAUGAUCCCUGAGCUCUCUCCGAUGAUCCACUGUCUCUACUUCCUCCGAUGAGCCAUUGUCUCUACUUCCUCCGAUGAGCUUCCAAUUUCUUCAUGCAGCUAAGUUUCUUGCUUUACAGAUGUGCUCAAUGUUACAUGUUGGUCGAGCACUUCUCCACUUCCUAAGUUUCAGGGUUAAUGAGUUAAUUGGAGGCACAACUUCCUUCACUUCUUCAAAUUUUCCCACCAAAGAACGUACAGAAAGCCAAAAAAUGGAGAAAGAAACUAUCUUUUGGCGCUUACUUUUUUUAGGUUUUUGGCUCCAAAAGAAUUUCAGAAUAACCACGAUAUAUUUGAGAAGUUUCAUUGCAAAAUGAAAGAAUAUCUGAACCUGGACAAGAAGACCAGAGUUCUGUAAAUCAAUGGCACCGGGUGGACGUGUCUUUAGACAAACUACACUUACAGGGGAAACGACUCAAGAUACUCAAUCAGUGGAUGACUCAAAUAACCUUAUUCAUGUU
Solanum tuberosum (potato) is the source of this 573-nucleotide long non-coding RNA. RefSeq lists it as uncharacterized. The record is from RefSeq and is a predicted model, not a curated record. NCBI's taxonomy places the organism in Eukaryota, Viridiplantae, Streptophyta, Magnoliopsida, Solanales, Solanaceae. The transcript is spliced from 3 exons.